ACGUAUCUCUGGCGGGGCGCGAGCCCGGCUCCGGUCCGAAAGGCCGUGCAGCGGGCCCGCGUCUCUGUCAAAACCCUUGCAAACCCUCUGUGCACUUUAACGGUGGAGGGAGCCCGGGCGAGAGCUCGGGAUCCCGAACCCGUACCCACCAAACUCGUAUCGAAAAAGAAUGAACUGCGGCCUCUGCGUCGCCUAACAAACGAAA
This 205-nucleotide unclassified non-coding RNA is filed under the name uncultured Trechisporales. Its description in RNAcentral is "sequence contains ITS1". Lineage: Eukaryota; Fungi; Basidiomycota; Agaricomycetes; Trechisporales. The record is from RNAcentral.